CGGGUCUCGGCCGGCGAGGGGGGCGGUGGCCGGCCGGCGGGGUCGCUGGCGUCGUCUUCCCGGGCUGGGGGCGGGGCGUGCCCGCGACGGCUCCUCCCCCUGGGCUCCUCGCCGGUUCUGGGAGCCCGGGUGCGGGUGGGAGCAAGCGAGCGAGGGUGUCCUCCUUCCGCCUCCCUCUCUCCGCCGUCCGCGCUGAGCCGGGGCGGCGGUGCCUGAGCUGUUCCCUCGCGAGCCGGUGAGGACGGAGCGGCUGGGUGAGGAGGUGGAGCAGCCGGGCCGGGCGGAGAAGCUUGCGGGCUCCGCGCACCUCACCUCCGCCAAUCAGCACCGCGAAUCGACGGUGACGUCGCUCUCCCCGCCCCCUGGGGGGCCGCCUUUCUCCAGGAAGCCACGCCCAACUGCUGGCCGGCCGCCUCCCUCUCGGCGGCUUCCGUGCGGUCCUAAAGGCUGGUGCUCGGCAGGAGGAGGACGCGGGCUGGGGCCGUGGGGCGGCGUGAGGGUAGCCCGGGAGCGGUGAGGAGCGUGCGAGGCCCACGUGAGCGGAGGGACGCGGCCGCUCUCACCUUUCCUGAGGGCCCUGGCCCGGCUUUGGACUCCUGAUUCUCCUCUGCUUGCCAGCUGCCGCCCCGCCUCCGCCAGUGGUGCCCGGGCUGCCUGCGCGGCCGGAGUGAACGCGUCCCGGGAGCAGGGGUUUCUCCGAAGUGAGUGCGCCAGCCCCGGGACGAGCUCGUUCGAGUCCUCACCGCCCAGUGCACUUCCUGAAAGCCGGCGGUGGGCUGUCUCCCACCUUGUGAAACUUUGCCAGGUGUCGCUCACAGGGGACUGGGUCCGGACGCGGGUGGCGGCGCUGGUUUGCGGCCCCGGUUUGCGGCCCCGGCGCCGCGAUCCCGGGCCGCGCCCACGCCCAGGCUGGAGGCACCGUGCGCAGGUGGGGACGCGCGGCCGGGAGGUGCGCAGCGGGACCCGGCCGGCCGAGGGUGAGCGCUGCUGGGGACGCUCCUAGUCUGUAACGCUCUGUGAAAAUUAUUUCCUGGAUAGUUUAGGAAAAGCCUCUCCCUUCCCCGCCCCUAAACCUCUAUCUUUUGGGAAUCAUUGAUUUGCUAAAUGACAUUUCGGUGCCUAACCCAUUUUGAAUCCUUGUUCUGCUGUGAAUUUCAUGUGACUGGAGGAAUUUAAUAAGCUACCAACUUGACAGGCUUUAAACUUAAAAAAAAAAAGUUUUGUUACGUUUUUCAGAUUUAGGCUUCCAAGAUGUUUACACUCGCACUGUUACUUUUUUUUUUUUUUUUUUUUUUUUUUAGCAACAUAGUCCAAAUUUUUAAAACUCAGCUGGAUCUUUUGAGGGUUAAUUAAAAGGUGGGUUAAAAAAAAUCUUAAGACUUUAAAUUUAGAAGUCCUACUACAGCUAUGUAGUAGGAGUAUGCAGAAAGAUAAGAAUCACAUUGUAACUCUUUGCGGUGGUGCUGGAACAUCUGUUGGGAGAGCAUAUGCUGAACUCUGUUCACCUCACAAGUUUAUGUCCUAAGAGGCUCAUUCACAGUUCAGUAAAAGGGUGAACUGAAGCCUGAAUCAGUUUCGGGGAUGAAAGGGUGAGAGGGAGAACUGUUUUCAGCACAUUUGAGGUUGGCAAAAUAUAUAAAAGUCACUCUUUCUUGUAAUUUGCUAGUUCUUUACAGUCUUUAGAUGUAAUUUACAGCCAAGAAAACUUUAUUAUGAGGACUUAUACGUCAUUGCCCUUUUUUGCUGUCACCCUCAACUACCCUGGGAUCUUCUACUCAUAUCUCAUCUCCUGUUCCCACUUUUCUAAAGCUUAGGGUGAAAUACUUAGGCAACUAGUAAUAAUAUUAAUCUUGCUAGAUAUUCACAGGUUCAUAGUGAGCCAGCUGUCUAGAUCUGGAUAUCUAGUGAGCAAAUAAAUUCUUUACCUCCGAGUUGAUUUUUGUUUUAUUGAUCGAUUGACACAGUCUUGCUCUGUCACCCAGGCUGGAGCACAGGCUCAAGCAGAUCCUCCUGCCUCAGCCUCUCAAGUAGCUGGGACCACAGGCACGUGACACCACACCUGGCUAAUUGUUUGUAUUUUUUUGUAGAGACAGAGUCUCACCAUGUUGCCCAGGCUGGCAAAUUGAGUUUUAUAUGUGACGCAGUCAAAGGGGCAUUUUCCUUGGCAAUAAGAAGCCAUUUGAUAUGAACUCUCCACAAUAGUUGAUGCAUACAUUUUAUACCAGAAUUCAAAUUUGUAAUCAAUAAUGAUUACUUGGGUGUUUAUAGCUUUGGCCAACAUUAAACAAUAUAGUGAUCAAAGCUUAUACACAUAAGUGACAUAUACCAUGAUUUAAUGAUUUUGGUUAUCCAUCAGCUGGACAAUUUGUUGUUUAUCUCCGUCUCUGCAUACUGCAGCUCACAAGGAGGCCUCAAUGUUUUUUCCAUGUUACCAUAAGUGAGAGAACACAUUCAGUAAGAGUGAAAAAACGCUAGUGCUUUUGAGGGAGGGGCCCCGAUGGAAGUCCCACUGUGACAUGUGAGUUUUUAAGCUGGGAAAACUACCCUGAUGAUUCUAGUAAGACUCCCUAGAAAGGGAUUCCUCUUAGCCAGCCUACCUGUUGAGAACACCUGCUCUAGAUUUUCUGAUUUUUUUUUGUAUUCCCUGCAUAAUCAAAUCAUGUGGGCCAGAUAACAUUAUUGUGAUAGUGGUGAGUGUGUGGUUUGUAUCCAAAUAUUUUAUAAAGAAAUAUAUCUUGUAACAAAAACCAGGACACAAAGUAUUAUUGUCUCUUGUCCCCAGAUGAUAUAUAUAUUUUUAACUUCCCAUACUACACUGAUGUACCUAGAUGAUGUUUAAUGCACAUUCAGUAUAUUGUUUUAUUUGCCUUUUUAAUAGUGAAAGGUGUCAUUAUUCAUAUACCAUGCCAUACCGUAAUAUAGCUGGUAUUAUUGUCCAAGUAUUUAUAUGUAACCAGAAAACUGAUUCCAAGUGAAGGUUUGGAUGAAGGCACUAGUGACGGAGGAGGCUUUUCAACCCUCCUUUUUGCAGCUGGGUUGCUGCAAGACAUUUCACCAAAACCUCAGAUAACUGGGUGGUUCAGGGCAGCCUGAUACACUAAAAUAUAUCAACUAUAAAAAGGAUGCCCAGAUACGUCCACUUCUACUUCAGAUAUCCUGAAACAGGCAGUCUGAUUCAUAUCAAGAAUUUGUUCCCUAUGAGACCCCUCUCCCACUACACCUCCCUGUUUCCUCCAUUAGAAUAUAAAUAUCUUGAAGUCACUGACCAUGUUUUAUUCAAUGUUAUGUUUUCUCAUCUGGCACACAGUAGAUGUUCAUCCAUAUUUGUUGAAUAAAUGAAUGAAUGAAUGAAUGAACAGUGCUCCCGUAACAAAAAGUAAAGGCCAGAAACUCUUGGGUCACCUGGAACCUUGUUCCUACCUACCAGGGAAAAGAAAACAUGUCUCAGCAUUAUCAGACUAGCCCUGAGAUUCACUCCAGUUGAAUUGGCUGAGGUUCUAUGGCCAUUCUUGAUCAGUCACUGGGGCCAAGGCAGUGAAUCAACUUCAGAACCAUAUGGGUCCCUUCCAAGGAGACCCAGGGCUGUUGGAGAGGGGAAAGAAAAAUAUGAAUGCAGGGAGGCACCAACAUAUGUCUGAUAUCAUUGUACUUUAAUCUGUAGUUUGAUCAUUUAAAUUGCCGUGGGUAUAAGGUACCUCAAAAAUAAAUUUUUGUUUAGUUAGUUCACAUACAGCAUGUAUUUUAAAACAGGUGUUAAAUAUUAAACUGUCUUUAAAGAUUACACUUACAAAGCUGAUCUAAAACACCAGUAAGUUAUCUGCUGAUAUACAACUUAAGGAAAAAAUUAAUUGCAUAUUAAAAUUAAAAAUACAAGUUUUUGUUAAGGUUUACAAAAAUACGGUGACAGACUUGAGAUAGAAAUUCUUGGUGGUGUUACUGUGACAAGUAUUUCCAUUGGUAACCUGGGAAUCCAUGCCCAGCACUGUGGUAUAUGGCGUAUUUUCUGGAAGACUAGCCUUGGAUUGAAUUCACAGUCUCCCUGGAGUUGUGGUUCCAUUUGUCAGAAAGAUUCUUAGGGAUUUAGACUGACCAGGCUGUCAUGUUCUCACACUCAUACAUUUGUAAUUUUUGGAAAAACCAUAAAACCCACCAGUCUUUGGAGACUGUCCAGAAAUAAACUUGAUUCUAAACUGGUUUGGUUUGGAAAAUCCUUAGGCUACUUGUGUUAAAAAUUAAAGAACUAGCUGGGCAUGGUGGUGUGUACCUGUAGUUCCAGCUACGCAGGAGGCUGCGGCAGGAGGAUUGCUUGAGCCCAGGAGUUCGAGGCUGCAGUGUUCUGUGAUUGCGUCUGUGGAGCGCCACCGCACUUCAGUCUGGACAACAUAAUGAAACCUCAUCUCUUAGAAAUGAACUGGCUGAUGUUAGGUACUUGCCAGGGUAGACGACCUUAACUAAGCCCCUGGGGUUCUGUGAGACCUCUGCAAAUAGAUCUUCUGCUUAACUGUUCAAAAAGGCAAGGGCUGUCCCCCUCAAAAAACAACAUUGACUUCUAGAGACCCAUGGAGAGAUGGAAGUUUCUGAAGACUGGCUUGCUAGAUAGGAAAAUAACCAAUGCUCCAGCAGUGUUCUUGGGAUUGGAAUUUGCUGAUUCAUGUUUUUUAAAAUGCAUGAUCACAUCAAAUUUGCUGAGCUGUUGACUAUCAACCCAGCCUAAACCCACCGGCUCUUACCCUUUAACUUUCAUAAAAGAGAAGCCUGAUUUUGUUCAGGUAUCUAGCCUUCUCCCAAAGACCCUGUGUGGCUUGAAGGAUACCUUUGCUGGAGCCAUGGAUAGGAUAAAUCUCGAUCAGUAAAACAAUUAGGAAAUCCUGUACUUUUGCAAUUGGUUCGGAAUGAUUCGUACAUGACAAAGGACACACGAGGCAAUUUGGAGGGGCUCUCAUUGGCCAAAUCUGGCAAAAUUUGAGUAUCAAAAAGAUAAGAUGGUACCAUUGAAUAGAAAGAGAAUCGAACUCCAUAGGGAUUUCAAAGAAAAAGAGGUUGGGGAGGGUGCAGAGAAAAAAAACAACAGCAUCUUUAUAGAAGAGUGCCCCUAAAAAAAUGCAGAAAGAGAGAGUGAGAAAAGUACCACUUUGCUACCACCAAAUGUAAUAAUUGAUUAAGGUAUUUUCACCAUUGAGUGGGAAGUUAAGAAAUGAAACAUGUAUUCUCAAAGUACCACCUCAUUUAAAAAGGAGAAGAGGUACUUUUACACGGAUAAAUCUGAUGAAUACGACCCCAACCAUGUAGUCACAAUAAUGGGACAAUUUAAUAUGUUCUUCCCCAUGUCCUGGAUGCCACUGGAAGUGCACACUGCUUGUAUGUAAUAUUCUUGCCAAAAUGUUUAUGCUGAAUCUAAUCAUGGGGAAGUAAGACAAAUCU
RNAcentral lists this long non-coding RNA (5421 nucleotides) under Homo sapiens (human). RNAcentral's name for it is "non-protein coding lnc-PIGN-7:1". Lineage: Eukaryota; Metazoa; Chordata; Mammalia; Primates; Hominidae. The record is from RNAcentral.